GAGCGGAUGACGGGAGCUUGCUCCCUGAUUUAGCGGCGGACGGGUGAGUAAUGCCUAGGAAUCUGCCUGGUAGUGGGGGAUAACGUUCCGAAAGGAACGCUAAUACCGCAUACGUCCUACGGGAGAAAGCGGGGGACCUUCGGGCCUUGCGCUAUCAGAUGAGCCUAGGUCGGAUUAGCUAGUUGGUGAGGUAAUGGCUCACCAAGGCGACGAUCCGUAACUGGUCUGAGAGGAUGAUCAGUCACACUGGAACUGAGACACGGUCCAGACUCCUACGGGAGGCAGCAGUGGGGAAUAUUGGACAAUGGGCGAAAGCCUGAUCCAGCCAUGCCGCGUGUGUGAAGAAGGUCUUCGGAUUGUAAAGCACUUUAAGUUGGGAGGAAGGGCAGUAAGCUAAUACCUUGCUGUUUUGACGUUACCGACAGAAUAAGCACCGGCUAACUUCGUG
RNAcentral lists this ribosomal RNA (448 nucleotides) under uncultured bacterium. RNAcentral describes it as "bacterial SSU rRNA". It matches the Rfam family "Bacterial small subunit ribosomal RNA", at positions 64 to 507 of the family's 1533-position model. The record is from RNAcentral.